CAGCCGCCGCGGGAAUACGUAGGUGGCAAGCGUUAUCCGGAAUUAUUGGGCGUAAAGCGCGCGUAGGCGGUUUUUUAAGUCUGAUGUGAAAGCCCACGGCUCAACCGUGGAGGGUCAUUGGAAACUGGAAAACUUGAGUGCAGAAGAGGAAAGUGGAAUUCCAUGUGUAGCGGUGAAAUGCGCAGAGAUAUGGAGGAACACCAGUGGCGAAGGCGACUUUCUGGUCUGUAACUGACGCUGAUGUGCGAUAGCGUGGGGAUCAAACAGGAUUAGAUACCCCAGUAGUCCCUGUCUCUUAUAC
RNAcentral lists this ribosomal RNA (301 nucleotides) under uncultured bacterium. Its description in RNAcentral is "partial 16S ribosomal RNA". It matches the Rfam family "Bacterial small subunit ribosomal RNA", at positions 509 to 807 of the family's 1533-position model. The record is from RNAcentral.